RNAcentral lists this long non-coding RNA (930 nucleotides) under Apteryx owenii (little spotted kiwi). RNAcentral describes it as "lncRNA (ENSAOWG00000002884.1)". Lineage: Eukaryota; Metazoa; Chordata; Aves; Apterygiformes; Apterygidae. The record is from RNAcentral.
AGGCCAGCCAUCUCCAGCUGUGUCAGUUUCAAAACAAGAAGACUGCAGAAUACAUAUGCAGUGACAGGAUUGCUACACAGCUUUGCUCACAGGUUGCCUGCAACAUGAAAUAGGCAAAAGAACCUGAGAAAAAUGGAGGAAGUGAGUCUGAGAAUCAAUAACCCAUUCAUACAGUGAAGAAUAAAAUUAUCUUCUAAGGGCCCUGGCCCCAGACUGGCCACUCUAGAUCCAUGCACAGUAACUGCUUCUAGGCCUUCUUGGAGGAGGUCAGCGUGCCAGUGACUCUCCACUCCAGACAAGCAGUUUGGAAGUGAACUGUAUCCACAGUGUCUCCAGGUCUUUCAUUGCAUAAGACAGUGCUACUCCUCGAAACAAGAGCACAGAGGAGACUCAGGCCAAAAUCUGUGCAGUGCGAAUGUGGCUUGUCCUUUCCAGUAGUUUCCAAACCUGUGUGCCUUUGGCACAAAGCAGUCCAUAUUGAUUGGAGUGGAGGCCACCAGUCUUCAACUGACCUGAUCCACUGCAGUGGUAUGGACCUAGAUGAUUCAUUUUCAAAGAACUUCUCUUCUUGGGGAGAGGAGAGCAAGCAAGAGAAAACUCCUUUGAAUCCAGUGUUAUUUUCUGCAUAUCAUGAACUUAAAGAUUCAUCCAGAGAGGUUGCAGUCACAAGCUCCGCUUCAGGACACCUGGGCUUGGAUGCAGACCUGAUUUCCUGUGUGACUUUGUGAAUUGCUCUCAGCCUGAAAUCCAGCUCUGCGAAACAUUCAUCCACCUCUCCGUUUCAAGGGAAAAUCUCCCUGAAGGAGAGCGUUUUGUACAGGGCCUAGCACAACAGGGCUCUGCUCUUGGUUUAAGGACCGUUUGGGCUGUUACUUUAUUGAUUAAUCAGUAGCAGUGUGGUUAGAAAUAAAACGAAGAACCCAGCCUUCA